AUUGAACGCUGGCGGCAGGCCUAACACAUGCAAGUCGAGCGGAGCGGCGGACGGGUGAGUAAUGCCUAUGUAUCUGCCUGGUCGUGGGGGAUAACGUCAGGAACAGGGCGCUCAUACCACAUACUCUCAGCUGAGCCUAGGUCGGAUUAGCUAGUUGGUGGGGUAAAGGCCUACCAAGGCGACGAUCCGUACCUGGUCUGAGAGGAUGAUCAGUCACACUGGAACUGAGACACGGUCCAGACUCCUACGGGAGGCAGCAGUGGGGAAUAGUGGACAAUGGGCGAAAGCCUGAUCCAGCCAUGCCGCGUGUGUGAAGAAGGUCUUCGGAUUGUAAAGCACUGUAAGUUGGGAGGCGGUACCAACAGAAUAAGCACCGGCUAACUUCGUGCCAGCAGCCGCGGUAAUUC
RNAcentral lists this ribosomal RNA (407 nucleotides) under uncultured bacterium. Its description in RNAcentral is "partial 16S ribosomal RNA". It matches the Rfam family "Bacterial small subunit ribosomal RNA", at positions 30 to 526 of the family's 1533-position model. The record is from RNAcentral.